UCGAGAAUCAUUCACAAUGGGCGAAAGCCUGAUGGUGUGACGCCGCGUGGAGGAUGAAGGUCUUCGGAUUGUAAACUCCUGUCAAGUGGGGGUAAGGCACUGCGAGGAAAUGCGCGUGUGCUUGAGAGUACCACUAGAGGAAGGGACGGCUAACUUCGUGCCAGCAGCCGCGGUAAUACGAAGGUCCCAAGCGUUGUUCGGAAUCACUGGGCGUAAAGGGUGCGUAGGCUGCGCGGAAAGUCAGAGGUGAAAUCCCGGGGCUCAACCCCGGAACUGCCUCCGAUACUGCCGCGCUCGAGUACUGAAGGGGAGUCCGGAAUUCACGGUGGAGCAGUGAAAUGCGUGGAUAUCGUGAGGAACACUAGUGGCGCAGGCGGGACUCUGGGCAGUAACUGACGCU
RNAcentral lists this ribosomal RNA (400 nucleotides) under uncultured bacterium. Its description in RNAcentral is "bacterial SSU rRNA". It matches the Rfam family "Bacterial small subunit ribosomal RNA", at positions 355 to 747 of the family's 1533-position model. The record is from RNAcentral.